UACGAAGGGGCUAGCGUUGCUCGGAAUCACUGGGCGUAAAGGGUGCGUAGGCGGGUCUUUAAGUCAGGGGUGAAAUCCUGGAGCUCAACUCCAGAACUGCCUUUGAUACUGAAGAUCUUGAGUUCGGGAGAGGUGAGUGGAACUGCGAGUGUAGAGGUGAAAUUCGUAGAUAUUCGCAAGAACACCAGUGGCGAAGGCGGCUCACUGGCCCGAGUA
This 216-nucleotide ribosomal RNA is filed under the name uncultured bacterium. Its description in RNAcentral is "partial 16S ribosomal RNA". It matches the Rfam family "Bacterial small subunit ribosomal RNA", at positions 524 to 739 of the family's 1533-position model. The record is from RNAcentral.